AUAUGUUUAAAUGUGUUUAGUUGGUAUUGAUUUUUUUUCUUUUUUUCUUCAUGUUAAUUUUGAACCCUUAUAGCAGCAAUAUAAUGCAAUUUCAUAUGUUUUCCUCUAACUCUCAUUGUGAAUAUCCAUAAAAAGAAAGGAAGUGUGCUAUUUUGCUGUAUAUCUCAAUCUUUAUUAUUUUAAAUGUCAUGUAGUUUGUUUAACAAUUAAA
Molecule: long non-coding RNA, 211 nt
Filed under: Lathyrus oleraceus (garden pea)
Lineage: Eukaryota; Viridiplantae; Streptophyta; Magnoliopsida; Fabales; Fabaceae
Description: Pisum sativum (pea) long non-coding RNA (PSAT_LNC001118)
Source: RNAcentral